Molecule: ribosomal RNA, 492 nt
Filed under: uncultured bacterium
Lineage: Bacteria
Description: partial 16S ribosomal RNA
Rfam family: Bacterial small subunit ribosomal RNA
Source: RNAcentral
AGUGAACGCUGGCGGUAGGCCUAACACAUGCCAGUCGAACGGCAGCACAGUAAGAGCUUGCUCUUACGGGUGGCGAGUGGCGGACGGGUGAGGAAUACAUCGGAAUCUACUUUUUCGUGGGGGAUAACGUAGGGAAACUUACGCUAAUACCGCAUACGACCUACGGGUGAAAGCAGGGGAUCUUCGGACCUUGCGCGAUUGAAUGAGCCGAUGUCGGAUUAGCUAGUUGGCGGGGUAAAGGCCCACCAAGGCGACGAUCCGUAGCUGGUCUGAGAGGAUGAACAGGCACAAUGGAACUGAGACAAGGUCCAGACUCCUAAGGGAGGCAGCAGUGGGGAAUAUUGGACAAUGGGCGCAAGCCUGAUCCAGCCAUACCGCGUGGGUGAAGAAGGCCUUCGGGUUGUAAAGCCCUUUUGUUGGGAAAGAAAAGCAGCAGGUUAAUACCCCGCUGUUCUGACGGUACCCAAAGAAUAAGCACCGGCUAACUUCGUG